RNAcentral lists this long non-coding RNA (364 nucleotides) under Mytilus galloprovincialis (Mediterranean mussel). The record is from RNAcentral. Lineage: Eukaryota; Metazoa; Mollusca; Bivalvia; Mytilida; Mytilidae.
GUGUCGCUCACCUUUGUCUAUGUGCAUAUUAAACAAAGGACACAGAUGGAUUCAUGACAAAAUUGUGUUUUGGUGAUGGUGAUGUGUUUGUAGAUCUUACUUUACUGAACAUUCUUGCUUCUUACAAUUAUCUCAUUAUCUCAAUUUAUAAUGAAUUUGGCCCAUUAGUUACAGAAGAAAAUAUUUUGUUAAAAUUUACAAAAAAUUUACAAAAUUUACAAAAUUAUUAAAAAUUGACUAUAAAGGGCAAUAACUCCUUAAGGAGUCAACUGACCUUUUUGGUCAUGUUGACUUAUUUGUGGAUCUUACUUUGAUGAACAUUAUUGCUGUUUACAGUUUAUCUCUAUCUAUAAUAAUAUUCAAG